UUCGUUUGAUAUUUAUCCCGCCAAAAUAUCGAUAUUAAAUUAUACUUUACUCUAACUCUAACUCGGUGCGCUCUCUCAAAUCUGUCACAUUUCCAUUUGAAGUAGGCCAUAGAGUGAAGGUAAUUCCAUAUUCAGGAGCCGACUCUUUCAGACAUAAAUUUGACUUUUUGGAUAAGGAUAAGUAUCUCAUGAAGGAAUUAUUAAUAAUUUUAAAUUUUUCUGUAUUUGGCAAAACAAAAAAAAUAUCACCUACAAAUAUGUGUGCAUAAGACAGUACUUUUAAGAUUCAAGAGUAACAAAACAACAAGCAUCAAGGAACUCAUCGUUUUAGUGGCUCAGUAAAACAAAGCUGAUGACAAUGGCUGAUGAAACUACUGAAACCAGCGCGAGCUGAAGAACUUACAUAUCUAUGUACAUGUAUGUUUCUGCAUUACGAAUAUAUUCAACUCCUUUUCCUGCAUAUAGCAGUUGCUGAAGUUGAACUCACGCAGUUAGAAGUACAUAGUAACGAAUGAGAGCGGAACCGAAGUGCAUACAUGCACUAUUCCAUAGUUUAUCGAUUGUGUGUCGCUCAUUGCCGAUUGCCAUUUCACUGUGAAUGAUGAGUGAGUUUAAGCAGGAAGGCAGAGGUCCAAACCCUCUUUGAUGAACUGCUUCAAGGAAAAAAACUUUUGAAUUAUGCCUGUAUCUGGCGUAUACAAAGAUAAUUUUCUGAACCUCUCGGUUUUUUGAUUGAUAUCCAAACGCGGACCAGUGGACUCCAUUUCCGGUGAAUACGAAAACAAUAACAAAUCAAAAUGAGGACAGCCAGUCGGGGAAAUGCGAAAAUGAGGAAAUCGGAAUAGGGACGGAGAAUUUCUUAAAAAUAAAUAAGUAUGAAAUCGGAAUUAUAUCAAGACGAAACACAGCGCAGAUGGGAUGGAUGUGGGUUUGAUAUCAAGUGAUUAAGCUAGCUCUGAGGUAGAAGUACAGUGCGUUUUAAAGCAAAUCAAAUCGAGAAGGCAAAGCAAACUUUUCUUAAAUAUGACGCAAAAGCGAGGAGAGCUUGCAAUUAAGGUAAAAAACACUCUGUAUGAACUAAUCAAAGCGUGGGCUGAUGAUUUCCCCUUCAAGUACUUACAAUAUGUGUCCGUUGUUAAGCGAUCGAUGGUAUCCUGUUUCAACUUGGAGCUCUUUUUUCCCAUGUUGUAUUUUUUUCAGCACUCUUUGCUUUUGUUGUUGCUGUUUCACUUGGCUGCUAUUGC
Drosophila pseudoobscura is the source of this 1244-nucleotide long non-coding RNA. RefSeq lists it as uncharacterized. NCBI's taxonomy places the organism in Eukaryota, Metazoa, Arthropoda, Insecta, Diptera, Drosophilidae. The transcript is spliced from 3 exons. The record is from RefSeq and is a predicted model, not a curated record.